AAACGAAAACACAUCGAGUGUGUAUUGGGGUAUUUUGAAAGAUAUUUUUCUGUAUUAGUGAGAGUGUGUUGGUGCAUUCCUUCCCAACUGUUACUUUCCUUCCCGACCGUUUUCUUUCCCUACCGACCGACUCAUAUCAUAGCUCACGUAUACAG
Bradysia coprophila is the source of this 155-nucleotide long non-coding RNA. The record is from RefSeq and is a predicted model, not a curated record. NCBI's taxonomy places the organism in Eukaryota, Metazoa, Arthropoda, Insecta, Diptera, Sciaridae.